UAGGGAAUCUUCCACAAUGGGCGCAAGCCUGAUGGAGCAACACCGCGUGAGUGAAGAAGGGUUUCGGCUCGUAAAGCUCUGUUGUUGGAGAAGAACGUGCGUGAGAGUAACUGUUCACGCAGUGACGGUAUCCAACCAGAAAGUCACGGCUAACUACGUGCCAGCAGCCGCGGUAAUACGUAGGUGGCAAGCGUUAUCCGGAUUUAUUGGGCGUAAAGCGAGCGCAGGCGGUUGCUUAGGUCUGAUGUGAAAGCCUUCGGCUUAACCGAAGAAGUGCAUCGGAAACCGGGCGACUUGAGUGCAGAAGAGGACAGUGGAACUCCAUGUGUAGCGGUGGAAUGCGUAGAUAUAUGGAAGAACACCAGUGGUGAAGGCGGCUCUCUGGUCUGCAAACUGACGCUGAGGCUCGAAAGCAGGGUAGCGAACA
Molecule: ribosomal RNA, 427 nt
Filed under: uncultured Lactobacillus sp.
Lineage: Bacteria; Bacillati; Bacillota; Bacilli; Lactobacillales; Lactobacillaceae
Description: bacterial SSU rRNA
Rfam family: Bacterial small subunit ribosomal RNA
Source: RNAcentral